AUUGAACGCUGGCGGCAGGCCUAACACAUGCAAGUCGAACGGUAGCACAGAGAGCUUGCUCUCGGGUGACGAGUGGCGGACGGGUGAGUAACGUCUGGGAAACUGCCCGAUGGAGGGGGAUAACUACUGGAAACGGUAGCUAAUACCGCAUAACGUCGCAAGACCAAAGUGGGGGACCUUCGGGCCUCACACCAUCGGAUGUGCCCAGAUGGGAUUAGCUAGUAGGUGGGGUAAUGGCUCACCUAGGCGACGAUCCCUAGCUGGUCUGAGAGGAUGACCAGCCACACUGGAACUGAGACACGGUCCAGACUCCUACGGGAGGCAGCAGUGGGGAAUAUUGCACAAUGGGCGCAAGCCUGAUGCAGCCAUGCCGCGUGUAUGAAGAAGGCCUUCGGGUUGUAAAGUACUUUCAGCGGGGAGGAGGCUCUUUUGGUUAAUACCCAAGAUGAGUGGACGUUACUCGCAGAAUAAGCACCGGCUAACUCUGUGCCAGCCGCCGCGGUAA
Molecule: ribosomal RNA, 505 nt
Filed under: uncultured bacterium
Lineage: Bacteria
Description: partial 16S ribosomal RNA
Rfam family: Bacterial small subunit ribosomal RNA
Source: RNAcentral